CUGACACAAUAUCAGAUUACAGAAUAAUUCACAAGUAAGAGUCUUUUUACCACAGAUUUAAUUUAAGAAACCUCUGGAUCGGAUUAGAAUCACAAAGUAGGGAGAUUCAACCAAAAAAGAAUGAAUCUUUAAGUAAGAGAUGAUAUGAUUCUUUUUUUUGUUUUCAGAAAAAAACUUAGCAAAUGAUUGGUAUAUAGAAGAAUCUGGUGGAGUUGGAGAAGAAGAAGAAGGAACGAGUUACCAGAUUCGUCGAAUUGGUCGGGAUUGCGUAAUCGAAGAAGGUGUUCUCACGCUAGAAGCAAUUAUCCAACCACGUAAGCAUCAUCGAUCGGCUCGGCUUGUACUUG
This 347-nucleotide long non-coding RNA is filed under the name Capsella grandiflora. RNAcentral describes it as "long non-coding RNA (CGRA_LNC000036)". The record is from RNAcentral. Lineage: Eukaryota; Viridiplantae; Streptophyta; Magnoliopsida; Brassicales; Brassicaceae.